UCCAAAACGUUUGGUUACCUCCACAUUUGUCAGAGAUAAGUUUCUCUUUUGUAUCAGUGGAAAUCUGAUUUGCUUUCUUUUCACAUAUACAAAUCUCUUACAAAUCAAAUUUCCACUGAUCCAAAGGAGAAAUUUAUCUUUGACAAAUGUGGAGGUAACCAAACGUUUUGGAU
This 173-nucleotide microRNA precursor is filed under the name Podarcis lilfordi (Lilford's wall lizard). The record is from RNAcentral. Lineage: Eukaryota; Metazoa; Chordata; Lepidosauria; Squamata; Lacertidae.